This 420-nucleotide ribosomal RNA is filed under the name uncultured bacterium. RNAcentral describes it as "bacterial SSU rRNA". It matches the Rfam family "Bacterial small subunit ribosomal RNA", at positions 355 to 774 of the family's 1533-position model. The record is from RNAcentral.
UGGGGAAUAUUGCACAAUGGGCGAAAGCCUGAAGCAGCAACGCCGCGUGGAGGAUGAAGGGUCUAUGACUUGUAAACUCCUGUAAAGAAGGAAAAAAUUCCCAUUUGAUGGGAGAUGAUGGUACUUCUGGAGUAAGCCCCGGCUAACUACGUGCCAGCAGCCGCGGUAAUACGUAGGGGGCAAGCGUUGUCCGGAUUUACUGGGUGUAAAGGGUGCUCAGGCGGAUUUGUAAGUCAGAGGUGAAAUCUUACAGCUUAACUGUGAAACUGCCUUUGAUACUGCAAGCCUAGAGUAUGGAAGAGAGUGAUGGAAUAUCUGGUGUAGCAGUGAAAUGCGUAGAUAUCAGAUAGAACACCAAUGGCGAAGGCAGUCACUUGGUCCAUUACUGACGCUAAAGCACGAAAGCGUGGGUAGCAAACA